This 492-nucleotide ribosomal RNA is filed under the name uncultured bacterium. RNAcentral describes it as "partial 16S ribosomal RNA". It matches the Rfam family "Bacterial small subunit ribosomal RNA", at positions 29 to 507 of the family's 1533-position model. The record is from RNAcentral.
AGUGAACGCUGGCGGUAGGCCUAACACAUGCAAGUCGAACGGCAGCACAGUAAGAGCUUGCUCUUACGGGUGGCGAGUGGCGGACGGGUGAGGAAUACAUCGGAAUCUACUUUUUCGUGGGGGAUAACGUAGGGAAACUUACGCUAAUACCGCAUACGACCUACGGGUGAAAGCAGGGGAUCUUCGGACCUUGCGCGAUUGAAUGAGCCGAUGUCGGAUUAGCUAGUUGGCGGGGUAAAGGCCCACCAAGGCGACGAUCCGUAGCUGGUCUGAGGGGAUGGUCAGCCAGACUGGAACUGAGAAACGGCACAGACUCCUAGGGGAGGCAGCAGUGGGGAAUCUUGGGCAAUGGGGGCAAGCCUGAUCCAGCCAUACCGCGUGGGUGAGGAAGGCCUUCGGGUUGUAAAGCCCUUUUGUUGGGAAAGAAAAGCAGCAGGUUAAUCCCCCGCUGUGCUGACGGUACCCAAAGAAUAAGCACCGGCUAACUUCGUG